This is a small nucleolar RNA of Otolemur garnettii (small-eared galago), 65 nucleotides long. The record is from Ensembl. NCBI's taxonomy places the organism in Eukaryota, Metazoa, Chordata, Mammalia, Primates, Galagidae.
GUACAUGAUGACUGACAUUUCUUCACUUUGACCUGAGAUCUGCUGAAGAAAUCUAAUAUCUGAGA